This 617-nucleotide ribosomal RNA is filed under the name uncultured bacterium. Its description in RNAcentral is "bacterial SSU rRNA". The stretch from base 1 to 523 matches the Rfam family "Bacterial small subunit ribosomal RNA", at positions 338 to 873 of the family's 1533-position model. The record is from RNAcentral.
CCUACGGGAGGCAGCAGUGGGGAAUAUUGCACAAUGGGCGAAAGCCUGAUGCAGCGACGCCGCGUGAGGGAUGACGGCCUUCGGGUUGUAAACCUCUUUCAGCAGGGAAGAAGCGAAAGUGACGGUACCUGCAGAAGAAGCGCCGGCUAACUACGUGCCAGCAGCCGCGGUAAUACGUAGGGCGCAAGCGUUGUCCGGAAUUAUUGGGCGUAAAGAGCUCGUAGGCGGCUUGUCACGUCGGGUGUGAAAGCCCGGGGCUUAACCCCGGGUCUGCAUUCGAUACGGGCUAGCUAGAGUGUGGUAGGGGAGAUCGGAAUUCCUGGUGUAGCGGUGAAAUGCGCAGAUAUCAGGAGGAACACCGGUGGCGAAGGCGGAUCUCUGGGCCAUUACUGACGCUGAGGAGCGAAAGCGUGGGGAGCGAACAGGAUUAGAUACCCUGGUAGUCCACGCCGUAAACGGUGGGAACUAGGUGUUGGCGACAUUCCACGUCGUCGGUGCCGCGAGUACGACGCUAGUUACCGUCCCGUCGGUGGUACGGUCCGGCCGAGACGUAACCUUAAAACUUAAGUAGUAGUCGGACGCGNGAGACGUCGACGACGACGACGACGGAGGAGGAG